AGGAGCGCGAGCACAGAAGAGGCCCGCAGACAGCUUUCCUUUGGAUUGGUCAAGGAUACUGUUAGGAAGUUGAUGGAAAAGUCCAAAUCUUCUGAACCUCUAAGGUAGCUGCCAAAAA
RNAcentral lists this long non-coding RNA (118 nucleotides) under Monodelphis domestica (gray short-tailed opossum). Its description in RNAcentral is "lncRNA (ENSMODG00000047299.1)". The record is from RNAcentral. Lineage: Eukaryota; Metazoa; Chordata; Mammalia; Didelphimorphia; Didelphidae.